Pteropus vampyrus (large flying fox) is the source of this 119-nucleotide ribosomal RNA. The record is from Ensembl. Lineage: Eukaryota; Metazoa; Chordata; Mammalia; Chiroptera; Pteropodidae.
GUCUAUGACCAUGCCACCCUAAACACGCCCAAUUUGGUCUGAUCUCGGAAGCUAAGCAGGGUCGGGCCUGGUUAGUACUUGGAUAGGAGGCAACCUAGGAAGACUAUGUGCUGUAGGCG